This is a non-coding RNA of Rhizobium sp., 73 nucleotides long. NCBI's taxonomy places the organism in Bacteria, Pseudomonadati, Pseudomonadota, Alphaproteobacteria, Hyphomicrobiales, Rhizobiaceae. The record is from Rfam.
GCCCUUGUAGCUCAGUUGGUAGAGCACCUGAUUUGUAAUCAGGGGGUCCCGAGUUCGAACCUUGGCGGGGGCA